GAAUCGCUAGUAAUCGUGGAUCAGAAUGGCACGGUGAAUACGUUCCCGGGCCUUGUCACACCGCCCGUCACACCAUGGGAGUGGACUGCACCAGAAGUGGUUAGCCUAACUUCGGAGGGCGAUCACCACGGUGUGGUUCAUGACUGGGGUGAAGUCGUAACAAGGUAGCCGUAGGGGAACCUGCGGCUGGAUCACCUCCUUA
RNAcentral lists this ribosomal RNA (202 nucleotides) under Halomonas sp. S2-5. Its description in RNAcentral is "partial 16S ribosomal RNA". It matches the Rfam family "Bacterial small subunit ribosomal RNA", at positions 1329 to 1533 of the family's 1533-position model. Lineage: Bacteria; Pseudomonadati; Pseudomonadota; Gammaproteobacteria; Oceanospirillales; Halomonadaceae. RNAcentral also lists the same sequence under 4 other names. The record is from RNAcentral.